CCCCUCAACGAUGAAGAGAUGGUCGGCUACAUCAUGAACGGGUUGGACGCUGAGUUCAAUCCCGUGACAUCUGCUCUUAUUACAAGAGUAGAACCAAUCACCAUGUCUGAGCUGUUCUCUCAACUAUUAAAUUUUGAGA
Molecule: small nucleolar RNA, 139 nt
Organism: Panicum hallii
Lineage: Eukaryota; Viridiplantae; Streptophyta; Magnoliopsida; Poales; Poaceae
Product: small nucleolar RNA Z247
Exons: 1
Source: RefSeq, a predicted model, not a curated record